AGUGAACGCUGGCGGUAGGCCUAACACAUGCAAGUCGAACGGCAGCACAGUAAGAGCUUGCUCUUACGGGUGGCGAGUGGCGGACGGGUGAGGAAUACAUCGGAAUCUACUUUUUCGUGGGGGAUAACGUAGGGAAACUUACGCUAAUACCGCAUACGACCUACGGGUGAAAGCAGGGGAUCUUCGGACCUUGCGCGAUUGAAUGAGCCGAUGUCGGAUUAGCUAGUUGGCGGGGUAAAGGCCCACCAAGGCGACGAUCCGUAGCUGGUCUGAGAGGAUGAUCAGCCACACUGGAACUGAGACCCGGGCCCGACUCCUACGGGAGGCAGCAGUGGGGAAUAUUGGACAAUGGGCGCAAGCCUGAUCCAGCCAUACCGCGUGGGUGAAGAAGGCCUUCGGGUUGUAAAGCCCUUUUGUUGGGAAAGAAAAGCAGCAGGUUAAUACCCCGCUGUUCUGACGGUACCCAAAGAAUAAGCACCGGCUAACUUCGUG
This 492-nucleotide ribosomal RNA is filed under the name uncultured bacterium. RNAcentral describes it as "partial 16S ribosomal RNA". It matches the Rfam family "Bacterial small subunit ribosomal RNA", at positions 29 to 507 of the family's 1533-position model. The record is from RNAcentral.